RNAcentral lists this ribosomal RNA (460 nucleotides) under uncultured bacterium. RNAcentral describes it as "partial 16S ribosomal RNA". It matches the Rfam family "Bacterial small subunit ribosomal RNA", at positions 338 to 795 of the family's 1533-position model. The record is from RNAcentral.
CCUACGGGAGGCAGCAGUGAGGAAUAUUGGUCAAUGGACGAGAGUCUGAACCAGCCAAGUAGCGUGAAGGAUGACUGCCCUAUGGGUUGUAAACUUCUUUUAUAUGGGAAUAAAAUGUUCCACGUGUGGGAUUUUGUAUGUACCAUAUGAAUAAGGAUCGGCUAACUCCGUACCAGCAGCCGCGGUAAUACGGAGGAUCCGAGCGUUAUCCGGAUUUAUUGGGUUUAAAGGGAGCGUAGGUGGAUUGUUAAGUCAGUUGUGAAAGUUUGCGGCUCAACCGUAAAAUUGCAGUUGAAACUGGCAGUCUUGAGUACAGUAGAGGAGGGCGGAAUUCGUGGUGUAGCGGUGAAAUGCUUAGAUAUCACGAAGAACUCCGAUUGCGAAGGCAGUUCACUGGACUGCAACUGACACUGAGGCUCGAAAGUGUGGGUAUCAAACAGGAUUAGAUACCCUUGUAGUC